RNAcentral lists this ribosomal RNA (253 nucleotides) under uncultured bacterium. Its description in RNAcentral is "partial 16S ribosomal RNA". It matches the Rfam family "Bacterial small subunit ribosomal RNA", at positions 524 to 776 of the family's 1533-position model. The record is from RNAcentral.
UACGUAGGGUGCAAGCGUUGUCCGGAAUUAUUGGGCGUAAAGAGCUCGUAGGCGGUCUGUCGCGUCGGCUGUGAAAACCCGGGGCUCAACCCCGGGCCUGCAGUCGAUACGGGCAGACUAGAGUGCGGUAGGGGAGACUGGAAUUCCUGGUGUAGCGGUGAAAUGCGCAGAUAUCAGGAGGAACACCGAUGGCGAAGGCAGGUCUCUGGGCUGUAACUGACGCUGAGGAGCGAAAGCAUGGGGAGCGAACAGG